CCUCUCACCGACGACGACAUGGUGUCCUACAUCCUUGCGGGGCUCGAUUUCGACUACAUGUCGUUCGUCUCCACCAUCUGCGCCCGAACUGAAUCCAUCAAGGUGAGCGAGCUUUACUCGCAGCUCAUUAACUUUGAAA
Triticum aestivum (bread wheat) is the source of this 139-nucleotide non-coding RNA. Lineage: Eukaryota; Viridiplantae; Streptophyta; Magnoliopsida; Poales; Poaceae. The record is from Rfam.